This is a long non-coding RNA of Pogoniulus pusillus (Red-fronted tinkerbird), 809 nucleotides long. RefSeq lists it as uncharacterized. The record is from RefSeq and is a predicted model, not a curated record. The transcript has 5 exons. Lineage: Eukaryota; Metazoa; Chordata; Aves; Piciformes; Lybiidae.
AGGUUUCUGUGUGCGCGCAGCUCAGCCUGGCGUUCGUAGCGUGAAGGAGCGCGAGGGUUCUGGUGGCGCCGUUUGUCCUCCCUCGGGGCGGCGCGAGCCGGUGCGGACCGGUGCGGACUGAGACAUGUAAACCACAUCUAUCUCGUGUCUUCUCUCGCAUCUCAGAGGAGCAGAACAAGGACUCCUCUUGUCUAGUGGUUGAGGAGUACCUGCUGUGCCAGGAGGGGAAAGGCUCUCUCCCCCUAGGACACUUCAUGCAUCAUUGCUUCACGAAAUGAAAGGCCUCAAGCAGCACCACUUUCUGAGGGGCUCUCACGACACCAGAGUGCUGUGUGAGAUUCCAACAGCAUGGUAGUGAGGAGGAAGACACUGCAAAAGACUUGGAGAGGUGGAGGACUUAAAACCCCAGCAGCACCUACUCCGAGCCUCAUCCUUGACUUGGAAAGUGAAAUUGAAGCUGAACCUCUCGAAGCUCACAGGAAGAAAUGCCUCCAGCUUUGCUGCUAGUUGGUUGCAGAGCAGCAUGGUCUGCAAAUACCCAAAUCCCACUCUAACUUCACAUGGAUAACUCACUUAUCUAUGAAACUGUAUUGGGAUAAACAAACAGGAGCUAAGCAGCUUUAUGUGUAAAGAAUAAACCCUCUCCACUGUACUGUUUACCUUAAAGGGGCAGGGAGACUGCUGGUGACUAUUUAAGGCAGAGUCUUGACACUUUAUAGGGCCCUGAAUGUAUUUUCUUUAAAUAAACAUUUCUGUCCUACUUAUUUCUUUCCCUGGGAACAUCAGGAGUAAUGUACCAUGGUCCUUGU